RNAcentral lists this ribosomal RNA (253 nucleotides) under uncultured bacterium. Its description in RNAcentral is "partial 16S ribosomal RNA". It matches the Rfam family "Bacterial small subunit ribosomal RNA", at positions 524 to 776 of the family's 1533-position model. The record is from RNAcentral.
UACGAAGGGGGCUAGCGUUGUUCGGAAUUACUGGGCGUAAAGCGCGCGUAGGCGGUAGCACAAGUCAGUUGUGAAAUCUCCGGGCUUAACUCGGAAAGGUCAACUGAUACUGUGCGACUAGAGUGCAGAAGGGGCAACUGGAAUUCUCGGUGUAGCGGUGAAAUGCGUAGAUAUCGAGAGGAACACCUGCGGCGAAGGCGGGUUGCUGGGCUGACACUGACGCUGAGGCGCGAAAGCCAGGGGAGCGAACGGG